RNAcentral lists this unclassified non-coding RNA (343 nucleotides) under soil metagenome. Its description in RNAcentral is "partial contains 5.8S ribosomal RNA, internal transcribed spacer 2, and large subunit ribosomal RNA". The stretch from base 1 to 120 matches the Rfam family "5.8S ribosomal RNA", at positions 35 to 154 of the family's 154-position model. The record is from RNAcentral.
GAUGAAGAACGUAGCGAAAUGCGAUAAGUAAUGUGAAUUGCAGAGUUCAGUGAAUCAUCGAAUCUUUGAACGCACAUUGCGCCCGACAGCAUUCUGGCGGGCAUGCCUGUUCGAGCGUCAUUUCAACCCUCGACUUCCCUUUGGGGAAGUCGGCGUUGGGGACCGGCCGUAUACCGCCGGCCCCGAAAUGAAGUGGCGGCCCGUCCGCGGCGACCUCUGCGUAGUAAUCCAACUCGCACCGGAACCCCGACGUGGCCACGCCGUAAAACCCCCGACUUCUGAACGUUGACCUCGGAUCAGGUAGGAAUACCCGCUGAACUUAAGCAUAUCAAUAAGCGGAGGA